UACAGAGGGUGCAAGCGUUAAUCGGAAUUACUGGGCGUAAAGCGUGCGUAGACGGUUACAUAAGUCGGGUGUGAAAGCCCCGGGCUCAACCUGGGAAUUGCAUUCGAGACUGCGUAGCUAGGGUGCGGAAGAGGGAAGCGGAAUUUCCGGUGUAGCGGUGAAAUGCGUAGAUAUCGGAAGGAACACCGGUGGCGAAGGCGGGUCUCUGGGCCGUAACUGACGCUGAGGCGCGAAAGCCAGGGGAGCGAACGGG
RNAcentral lists this ribosomal RNA (253 nucleotides) under uncultured bacterium. Its description in RNAcentral is "partial 16S ribosomal RNA". It matches the Rfam family "Bacterial small subunit ribosomal RNA", at positions 524 to 776 of the family's 1533-position model. The record is from RNAcentral.